This 1236-nucleotide ribosomal RNA is filed under the name metagenome. RNAcentral describes it as "bacterial LSU rRNA". It matches the Rfam family "Bacterial large subunit ribosomal RNA", at positions 1658 to 2925 of the family's 2925-position model. The record is from RNAcentral.
UACAGGUGGACUAGCAGAGUAUGCUUAGGCGCUUGAGAGAAGUGUGCUGAAGGAACUAGGCAAUCUGCCCUCGUAACUUCGGAAGAAGAGGGCCCAACUCUUACGCAAGUAGGGGUUGGGGGCACAGAGCAGGGGGUGGCGACUGUUUAUUAAAAACACAGGACUCUGCGAAAUCCAAAGAUGACGUAUAGGGUCUGACGCCUGCCCGGUGCCGGAAGGUUAAGAGGAGAUGUGAAAGCGUCGAAUCGAAGCCCCGGUAAACGGCGGCCGUAACGAUAACGGUCCUAAGGUAGCGAAAUUCCUUGUCGGGUAAGUUCCGACCUGCACGAAAGGCGUAACGACUUCCCCACUGUCUCCAGCACAUGCUCAGCGAAAUUGAAUUCCCCGUGAAGAUGCGGGGUACCCGCGGUCAGACGGAAAGACCCCGUGCACCUUUACUGCAACUUUGCACUGGCAUUAGGGAUGGAUUGCGUAGGAUAGGUGGUAGGCUUUGAAGUCUAGGCUCUGGCUUAGAUGGAGCCGUCCUUGAAAUACCACCCUGUUUGUUCCUGAUGUCUAACCGCGGCUCGAAACAGGGUCCGGAACCAUGCAUGGUGGGCAGUUUGACUGGGGCGGUCGCCUCCCAAAGAGUAACGGAGGCGCGCGAUGGUAAGCUCAGGCCGGUCGGAAAUCGGCUGUUGAGUGCAAUGGCACAAGCUUGCCUGACUGCAAGGCUGACAAGCCAAGCAGAGACGAAAGUCGGUCAUAGUGAUCCGGUGGUCCCGCGUGGAAGGGCCAUCGCUCAACGGAUAAAAGGUACGCCGGGGAUAACAGGCUGAUGACCCCCAAGAGUCCAUAUCGACGGGGUCGUUUGGCACCUCGAUGUCGGCUCAUCACAUCCUGGGGCUGGAGCAGGUCCCAAGGGUAUGGCUGUUCGCCAUUUAAAGUGGUACGUGAGCUGGGUUUAGAACGUCGUGAGACAGUUCGGUCCCUAUCUGCCGUGGGUGUUCGAGACUUGAGAGGAUUUAUUCCUAGUACGAGAGGACCGGAAUGAACGCACCUCUGGUGGACCGGUUGUCGUGCCAACGGCACAGCCGGGUAGCUACGUGCGGAAUAGAUAACCGCUGAAAGCAUCUAAGCGGGAAACUAACCUCAAAACCAGGUCUCGCCGAGAGCCGUGGAAGACUACCACGUCGAUAGGCUGGGUGUGUAAGCGCAGUAAUGCGUUGAGCUUACCAGUCCUAAUCGCUCGAAAAA